This is a long non-coding RNA of Gasterosteus aculeatus aculeatus (three-spined stickleback), 1216 nucleotides long. The record is from Ensembl. Lineage: Eukaryota; Metazoa; Chordata; Actinopteri; Perciformes; Gasterosteidae.
GUGGAAACGGAUGUCUGUGUUUCAUGGGACUGAAAUGUUUGUUAAUUUGGACUCAAAUGUUUUCAAAGACGCAAGACUUUGAAACUAAAAUACAUAUAUUUAUAAUUUGUAUGCACCUAUGUAAUGUUUCAUACCAUCUGCCUUUAGUUUUGUGGGAGCGGGCAGUUCUACAGUCGGUUAUAAGUGGUUGGUGGGGAUUUCACAGAGGAUAACCAAAACUCUGGCCUGCCCAGGACUUCUGAACACUGGGUACCAGCGUACAAUGCAUGGUGUUGUACUGGCUGCUUGCUGAGAAUUGUGGAGCCUGCCUUGGUGAGAGGAUUGCACUACCAGCAUACCCUUUUGUACAUGUUUGACAAUGUCUUGCCCCCAGUUUCCUAUAUUGUACAUACAAAGAUAAUGCAGACAGGGAAGGACUCACACACACUUACACACACAGAAACACAUGAACCCCUCGACAGGCAACUGUGGUUAACCGGUGUGCCCCAGUAUGAGCCACAACUCAUUUUGUGUGAAAAUAUUUUGCUCGUUUCAGCUCUAACCCUCUUCCAUGUUUCCCCUCAACACACUGCUGCGGUUUGGAGUUGAUUUUUAAGUCUGCUGUCACUUUCAAUAUGCUAUAUCUAAUGAUUUAAGGGUUAGUUGUCUUAACUGUCUGUUUGUUUGUUUAUGGUGCAAUAUCUCCUAACGGCACGUGCCUUUUAGCUUCCUAUUUAGUCUGUCAAUGAAAUCAGCAACGAGGAUGUCGAAAACCCAUGGGGGUGAAUUAUAAUGGAGCACGAUAGAGCAAUGUAUUGAGUUCAAAAAUUAACUUGUAAGCUGUAAACACACCACCUAGAUUAGACUGUCUGGACUAACAUCUUUUAGAGUCAUGUAGUACAAGUGCUCUCUCUGUGUGUUCUGUUUACCGGCUCUUGGGCUAGUAAAGGGAACGGCUUGCCUUCUGUUUUUUCUUUCUGUUCAUUUUCCAAAUGUUGGUUUAACAAUCGUAUAUGAGGCCAUUCUUUUGUAGCAUGACUGAGAUAAAUUUCUUUUCUUUUCUGAAAAUAGGCAAACUGAAAAAAUAAAAUCUUUUGACUGUCAUUAUCUCUUGCCACCAAAAGUCAGAGAGAAGACGUGUGUUGCGCAACCAAAUGGGACGAUUAAAUGAGAGUCAGUCAAAGAAUAUCUUCAUUUGAGCACGAAUCUAUUUCCAAACAAUAAAGCAGCCUUCCAG